Molecule: RNase P RNA, 398 nt
Filed under: Streptomyces sp. NRRL S-495
Lineage: Bacteria; Bacillati; Actinomycetota; Actinomycetes; Kitasatosporales; Streptomycetaceae
Description: bacterial RNase P
Rfam family: Bacterial RNase P class A
About the family: Ribonuclease P (RNase P) is a ubiquitous endoribonuclease, found in archaea, bacteria and eukarya as well as chloroplasts and mitochondria. Its best characterised activity is the generation of mature 5'-ends of tRNAs by cleaving the 5'-leader elements of precursor-tRNAs.
Source: RNAcentral
AGAGCCGGCCGGGCGGUCGCGACGGGUCCCAGGACCCGCCGAGGAACGUCCGGGCUCCACAGAGCAGGGUGGUGGGUAACGCCCACCCGGGGUGACCCGCGGGACAGUGCCACAGAAAACAGACCGCCCGCCGCUUAGGCGACGGGUAAGGGUGAAACGGUGGUGUAAGAGACCACCAGCGACCGGGGUGACUCGGACGGCUAGGUAAACCCCACCUGGAGCAAGGUCAAGAUCGGCGCCCCAGGGCGCCGUGCGCGGAUGCUUGAGGGCUGCUCGCCCGAGUCCGCGGGUGGACCGCACGAGGCUGUCGGCAACGGCAGCCCUAGAUGGAUGACCGCCUCCCCGGCCCGCGCGAGCGGCCCGGGAGACAGAACCCGGCGUACAGGCCGACUCUUCCG